AACGAACGCUGGCGGCGCGCCUAAUACAUGCAAGUCGAGCGAGAAGGUGUAGCAAUACACUUGUAAAGCGGCGAACGGGUGAGGAAUACAUGGGUAACCUACCCUCGAGUGGGGAAUAACUAGCCGAAAGGUUAGCUAAUACCGCGUACGCUUCCGGGACUGCGGUUCCGGAAGGAAAGCGAUACUGUGAGUAUCGCGCUCUUGGAUGGGCUCAUGUCCUAUCAGCUUGUUGGUGAGGUAACGGCUCACCAAGGCUUCGACGGGUAGCUGGUCUGAGAGGACGAUCAGCCACACUGGCACUGCGACACGGGCCAGACUCCUACGGGAGGCAGCAGUAAGGAAUAUUGCGCAAUGGACGACAGUCUGACGCAGCGACGCCGCGUGGGGGACGGAAGGUCUUCGGAUUGU
This 408-nucleotide ribosomal RNA is filed under the name uncultured bacterium. RNAcentral's name for it is "bacterial SSU rRNA". It matches the Rfam family "Bacterial small subunit ribosomal RNA", at positions 29 to 426 of the family's 1533-position model. The record is from RNAcentral.